GAAGAUUUAGGUUACAGAGUCAGGAGAUUUAGGUUACAGAGUCAAGAGAUUUAGGUUUCAGAGUCAGGAGAUUUAGGUUACAGUCAGGAGAUUAAGGUUUCAGAGUCAGGGGAUUUAGGUUACAGAGUCAGGAGAUUUAGGUUACAGAGUCAGGAGAUUUAGGUUACAGAGUCCAGAGAUUUAGGUUACAGAGUCAGGAGAUUUAGGUAACAGAGUCAGGAGAUUUAGGUUACAGAGUCAGGAGACUUAGGUUUCAGAGUCAGGAGAUUUAGGUUUCAGAGUCAGGAGAUUUAGGUUACAGAGUCCGGA
This is a long non-coding RNA of Mizuhopecten yessoensis (Yesso scallop), 309 nucleotides long. RefSeq lists it as uncharacterized. The transcript is spliced from 3 exons. Lineage: Eukaryota; Metazoa; Mollusca; Bivalvia; Pectinida; Pectinidae. The record is from RefSeq and is a predicted model, not a curated record.